Molecule: ribosomal RNA, 465 nt
Filed under: Vreelandella stevensii
Lineage: Bacteria; Pseudomonadati; Pseudomonadota; Gammaproteobacteria; Oceanospirillales; Halomonadaceae
Description: partial 16S ribosomal RNA
Rfam family: Bacterial small subunit ribosomal RNA
Source: RNAcentral
CCUACGGGUGGCAGCAGUGGGGAAUAUUGGACAAUGGGGGGAACCCUGAUCCAGCCAUGCCGCGUGUGUGAAGAAGGCCCUCGGGUUGUAAAGCACUUUCAGUGAGGAAGAACGCCUGGUGGUUAAUACCCAUCAGGAAAGACAUCACUCACAGAAGAAGCACCGGCUAACUCCGUGCCAGCAGCCGCGGUAAUACGGAGGGUGCGAGCGUUAAUCGGAAUUACUGGGCGUAAAGCGCGCGUAGGUGGCUUGAUAAGCCGGUUGUGAAAGCCCCGGGCUCAACCUGGGAACGGCAUCCGGAACUGUCAAGCUAGAGUGCAGGAGAGGAAGGUAGAAUUCCCGGUGUAGCGGUGAAAUGCGUAGAGAUCGGGAGGAAUACCAGUGGCGAAGGCGGCCUUCUGGACUGACACUGACACUGAGGUGCGAAGGCGUGGGUAGCAAACAGGAUUAGAUACCCGGGUAGUC